Puntigrus tetrazona (Sumatra barb) is the source of this 914-nucleotide long non-coding RNA. RefSeq lists it as uncharacterized. The transcript has 2 exons. NCBI's taxonomy places the organism in Eukaryota, Metazoa, Chordata, Actinopteri, Cypriniformes, Cyprinidae. The record is from RefSeq and is a predicted model, not a curated record.
GGGCUUGAGUAUUUCGCCCUGGAAAAAUCGAUAGGGAUCUUGUAAUGAUGCGAGGAGACUACGUCUCAAGAAUGGGAAGUGAGGAGUUGGGUCGAAUUGAAACAAGUGAAGAGUGCAGGCAUCCGUGGCAUGUAGAUUAUUCACAAGACGAUUCCACUUUUAGACAACCAUUUGAAUGUACCCACGUUCGGAGCCUCAAUACAGAUGCCUUUCCCUUUAAGAGACGGAUCAGCAUUACACAAGCUGCCAGGUGCACAGAGGCAGCAAACCAAGAAUAAACUGAUGUACCAGGGUGAAAAAGAAACUUGUAAACAAAUGCUCUCCCUCCCUCUCGGUCACUCCCUAUACUUUUCUUUUGUACUUAUUGUAUUGACUCAGGUCUACAUGUGUUCAAACGUGAUACUGGUAUACGCGGUUUGUGGCAAAAGGCACAUAAACACACAGCAUAGGCCUACUUUUAGAAAACAGGUUUUAACAUAUUCGCACAGGGGAAAAAAUAUUAAAAGAAAGUAUGGUUUAGAGCCAACGAUCCUUGAUAGAAUGAGGUUUGAAAGCUAUUGUAUGCACAAUAGCGUAUUUAAUAUAUCGUCUGUUUUGUAUUUUGUUUUCCGGUGCCAUCUCCUCCUGUGCUGCUCCUGGAAGCUGAAUUCAGAUGGUGCCAUAGAGUACUUUACGGCAUCUAGCACCAUUUGAAAUCAGUGUUCUUGGGUCGGUCCUGACAUCACACGGGACAGUUAAAUAGUGUUCUACUUUAUACUAUACUGUACAGUGCUUUGAUGCAACCUGUGUCGUUAAAAGCACUAUAUAAAUAAAAAUGAUUGAAAUGACUGACUACUGCAGCGUUAAUGAUCAAUGUCUUUGCAUGUCUGAUUUGCAUACGUUUCAUGAAUUAAAUAAAAUGAAUUUAAUCUUAA